GUUUGAUAAUGUUGACAGUUCUGCUGGCAAUAAAUAAAAUGGAGAGACAAAAAACACAUUUUUGAUAAUAAGAUGUUUACAUGUCACUAAUAAACCAACUACUCUCUUCGUUGACUCGAAUAAAGUCUGUUCUUCUAAGCUAUUUGUCGCUUGUAAAAAUAUUUUAUCUGGUGUACUCUUAGAUAAACAGUAGGUAACUAUAUCUAUGCAUUCUUUAAAACGCUUAUGUUGAUACACGAAUGACGCAAGUAAUAACCAAUAUGACAACGCAUCGCAAUAUAGUCCAAACCUGAAGCAACUAAAUGGUAUAUCAAACUGUUUAUACACAGAUUUGUUUUGUUCUCUAAUGUUAUAAAAUUUC
Molecule: long non-coding RNA, 361 nt
Filed under: Mytilus galloprovincialis (Mediterranean mussel)
Lineage: Eukaryota; Metazoa; Mollusca; Bivalvia; Mytilida; Mytilidae
Source: RNAcentral